This 178-nucleotide non-coding RNA is filed under the name Candidatus Cloacimonadota bacterium. RNAcentral's name for it is "Candidatus Cloacimonetes bacterium (marine metagenome) 6S RNA". It matches the Rfam family "6S / SsrS RNA". From Rfam's summary of the family: E. coli 6S RNA was the first non coding RNA to be sequenced, but its function was unknown until recently. It consists of 184 nucleotides that fold into an extended hairpin structure with a large single-stranded internal bulge. The 6S RNA specifically associates with RNA polymerase holoenzyme containing the sigma70 specificity factor. The record is from RNAcentral. Lineage: Bacteria; Pseudomonadati; Candidatus Cloacimonadota.
AAGGGCCUGCCCUGUUCGUGAUAACAAUGUUGUUUUGUGCUAAACAUGAAUUAUAGGGUGUUCAAUUGAGUAUGGCAUGAAUGCCUUCAUUGCAGAAGGACUCAUAAAGUAUUUAUAGAAUUCCCAGUUUUUGGUCUAUAGUUCAAACGAAUUGAUACACGGCAAGGACAGGUCUUUU